RNAcentral lists this ribosomal RNA (396 nucleotides) under uncultured bacterium. RNAcentral describes it as "partial 16S ribosomal RNA". It matches the Rfam family "Bacterial small subunit ribosomal RNA", at positions 360 to 774 of the family's 1533-position model. The record is from RNAcentral.
AAUAUUGCACAAUGGGGGAAACCCUGACGCAGCGACGCCGCGUUAGCGAAGAAGGCCUUAGGGUCGCAAAGCUCUUUCCUAAGGGAAGAAACGGACGGUACCUCAGGAGGACGCUCCGCCUAACAACGUGCCAUCAGCCGCGGUAAUACGUAGGGGGCGAGCGUUAACCGGAAUGAUUGGGCGUAAAGGGUGCGUAGGCGCCCUUUUAAGUCAGAUGUGAAAGGCUACGGCUUAACCGUAGUUAGCAUUUGAAACUAAAAGGCUUGAGUGCAGGAGAGGAGAGUGGAAUUCCUAGUGUAGCGGUGAAAUGCGUAGAUAUUAGGAGGAACACCAGUGGCGAAGGCGACUCUCUGGAUUGCACCUGACGCUGAGGCACGAAAGCGUGGGGAGCGAACA